UCGUUGCAAGUCAAACGAGAAACUUUUGACGUAGUUCCCCUUUUCUCCUCUCUUCCUAGAAAUCUUCCUUCACGGACAUCUUAUGCUUUUCAACGCUGGAUUACUGUGGCUGUCCCGUCACUCAAACAAGGUUUCUGUCCAACAAUGGUCGGAACGCAGAAAGCAUUUUUCUGGUUAAUCUUUCUGGUCGAUAAAUUGAUUGGAUGAUCAAAGAGGAAGAAAGAGGAAGUUUUGAUGCUGAUAAUGGACAGUAGACAUCAUCCGACUGCCAGCACCGUCAGCCUUGGAGCAGACCAAUGCGCGACUUUAGCUCCGAACAACUUGGAUCGGCGAGCCAAGGUCGAACCGAGGUCAUUUCGAGUUCAGCCAUUAUUCGAUUCAGUCUGCCAGGACCAAAGCUUUGGCCGAGGCAAGCAGCUACACCAAAAGGGCAUUUAGCAGCUUCAAUGCCCCCGUGUUGUCGAGGCCCAUUCGGUUCGAGUCAGGAAAAAUGAAUGCAUCGCCAUUCCUUAGCCAAAAUAGCCGUUUAGCAUAUACCAGACUAAUAUCAUCAUGCGUGAACUUCGCAAGUUUUCAGGCUCGUUUCAGUCGAAGAUUUCAGGCUCGUUUCAGAUUAUAACUGGCGACGCAAAAGUAUUAGUUUUCAGGCCUGUUUCGAUUGUAAACUAAGUAUCGGUCCUUGGGAUAGCUUCUUCUUAUCAGAUCAAA
Non-coding RNA from Punica granatum (pomegranate), 708 nucleotides. The record is from RefSeq and is a predicted model, not a curated record. Lineage: Eukaryota; Viridiplantae; Streptophyta; Magnoliopsida; Myrtales; Lythraceae.